Molecule: unclassified non-coding RNA, 200 nt
Filed under: uncultured Gibellulopsis
Lineage: Eukaryota; Fungi; Ascomycota; Sordariomycetes; Hypocreales; Hypocreaceae
Description: sequence contains ITS2
Source: RNAcentral
UUAAGUUCAGCGGGUAUUCCUACCUGAUCCGAGGUCAACCUUGGUGCCGCCGGAGCGGGCUUUGGGGGGGUUUAGAGGCAGGAGUCCCACGGGCUUCCGAUGCGAGGCGAAUGCUACUACGCAAAGAAGGGCCUGAAAGGUCCGCCACUGGUUUUCGGGGACCGCCUGGGCGGAUCCCCAACGCCGGGCCACGAGGGCUC